GUUUGAUCAUGGCUCAGGAUGAACGCUAGCGGCAGGCUUAAUACAUGCAAGUCGUGGGGCAGCAUGAGUGUAGCAAUACAUUUGAUGGCGACCGGCAAACGGGUGCGGAACACGUACAGAACCUUCCUUUAAGUGGGGAAUAGCCCAGGGAAACUUGGAUUAAUACCCCGUAAUAUAAUGAAGUGGCAUCACUUUAUUAUUAUAGCAGCAAUGCGCUUGAAGAUGGCUGUGCGGCUGAUUAGGUAGUUGGCGGGGUAAUGGCCCACCAAGCCUACGAUCAGUAACUGGUGUGAGAGCACGACCAGUCACACGGGCACUGAGACACGGGCCCGACUCCUACGGGAGGCAGCAGUAAGGAAUAUUGGGCAAUGGACGCAAGUCUGACCCAGCCAUGCCGCGUGGAGGAUGAAGGUCCUCUGGAUUGUAAACUUCUUUUAUCUGGGAAGAAAUCUAUUUUUUCUAAAGUAGUUGACGGUACCAGAUGAAUAAGCACCGGCUAACUCCGUGCCAGCAGCCGCGGUAAUACGAAGGGUGCAAGCGUUACUCGGAAUUACUGGGCGUAAAGCGUGCGUAGGUGGUUGUUU
RNAcentral lists this ribosomal RNA (584 nucleotides) under uncultured soil bacterium. RNAcentral describes it as "bacterial SSU rRNA". It matches the Rfam family "Bacterial small subunit ribosomal RNA", at positions 11 to 584 of the family's 1533-position model. The record is from RNAcentral.